GUCCACGCUGUAAACGAUGGGUGCUAGGCGUCGGGGGGAGCGACCCCUUCGGUGCCGUCGCUAACGCAAUAAGCACCCCGCCUGGGGAGUACGGUCGCAAGACUGAAACUCAAAGGAAUUGACGGGGGCCCGCACAAGCGGUGGAGCAUGUGGUUUAAUUCGAAGCAACGCGAAGAACCUUACCUGGGCUUGACAUGCACGGGAAAGCCGGUGGAAACAUCGGCCCCUCUUCGGAGUCCGUGCACAGGUGCUGCAUGGCUGUCGU
RNAcentral lists this ribosomal RNA (265 nucleotides) under uncultured bacterium. RNAcentral describes it as "partial 16S ribosomal RNA". It matches the Rfam family "Bacterial small subunit ribosomal RNA", at positions 793 to 1055 of the family's 1533-position model. The record is from RNAcentral.